AUGCACGCUGGCGGCGUGCCUAAUACAUGCAAGUCGAGCGAACAGACGAGGAGCUUGCUCCUCUGACGUUAGCGGCGGACGGGUGAGUAACACGUGGAUAACCUACCUAUAAGACUGGGAUAACUUCGGGAAACCGGAGCUAAUACCGGAUAAUAUAUUGAACCGCAUGGUUCAAUAGUGAAAGACGGUUUUGCUGUCACUUAUAGAUGGAUCCGCGCCGCAUUAGCUAGUUGGUAAGGUAACGGCUUACCAAGGCGACGAUGCGUAGCCGACCUGAGAGGGUGAUCGGCCACACUGGAACUGAGACACGGUCCAGACUCCUACGGGAGGCAGCAGUAGGGAAUCUUCCGCAAAGGGCGAAAGCCUGACGGAGCAACGCCGCGUGAGUGAUGAAGGUCUUCGGAUCGUAAAACUCUGUUAUUAGGGAAGAACAAAUGUGUAAGUAACUAUGCACGUCUUGACGGUACCUAAUCAGAAAGCCACGGCUAACUACGUG
RNAcentral lists this ribosomal RNA (496 nucleotides) under uncultured bacterium. RNAcentral's name for it is "partial 16S ribosomal RNA". It matches the Rfam family "Bacterial small subunit ribosomal RNA", at positions 29 to 507 of the family's 1533-position model. The record is from RNAcentral.